This 499-nucleotide ribosomal RNA is filed under the name uncultured bacterium. RNAcentral describes it as "partial 16S ribosomal RNA". It matches the Rfam family "Bacterial small subunit ribosomal RNA", at positions 28 to 507 of the family's 1533-position model. The record is from RNAcentral.
GACGAACGCUGGCGGCGUGCCUAAUACAUGCAAGUCGAGCGAAGUUUUUCUGGUGCUUGCACCGGAAAAACUUAGCGGCGAACGGGUGAGUAACACGUAAAGAACCUGCCUCAUAGACUGGGACAACUAUUGGAAACGAUAGCUAAUACCGGAUAAUAGCAUUAACUGCAUGGUUGAUGUUUAAAAGUUGGUUUUGCUAACACUAUGAGAUGGCUUUGCGGUGCAUUAGCUAGUUGGUGGGGUAAAGGCCUACCAAGGCGACGAUGCAUAGCCGACCUGAGAGGGUGAUCGGCCACACUGGGACUGAGACACGGCCCAGACUCCUACGGGAGGCAGCAGUAGGGAAUCUUCCGCAAUGGGCGAAAGCCUGACGGAGCAACGCCGCGUGAGUGAAGAAGGAUUUCGGUUCGUAAAGCUCUGUUGUUAGGGAAGAAUGGUUGUGUAGUAACUAUACACAGUAGAGACGGUACCUAACCAGAAAGCCACGGCUAACUACGUG